RNAcentral lists this ribosomal RNA (858 nucleotides) under Acinetobacter baumannii Canada BC-5. Its description in RNAcentral is "bacterial SSU rRNA". It matches the Rfam family "Bacterial small subunit ribosomal RNA", at positions 28 to 880 of the family's 1533-position model. Lineage: Bacteria; Pseudomonadati; Pseudomonadota; Gammaproteobacteria; Moraxellales; Moraxellaceae. The record is from RNAcentral.
AUUGAACGCUGGCGGCAGGCUUAACACAUGCAAGUCGAGCGGGGGAAGGUAGCUUGCUACCGGACCUAGCGGCGGACGGGUGAGUAAUGCUUAGGAAUCUGCCUAUUAGUGGGGGACAACAUCUCGAAAGGGAUGCUAAUACCGCAUACGUCCUACGGGAGAAAGCAGGGGAUCUUCGGACCUUGCGCUAAUAGAUGAGCCUAAGUCGGAUUAGCUAGUUGGUGGGGUAAAGGCCUACCAAGGCGACGAUCUGUAGCGGGUCUGAGAGGAUGAUCCGCCACACUGGGACUGAGACACGGCCCAGACUCCUACGGGAGGCAGCAGUGGGGAAUAUUGGACAAUGGGGGGAACCCUGAUCCAGCCAUGCCGCGUGUGUGAAGAAGGCCUUAUGGUUGUAAAGCACUUUAAGCGAGGAGGAGGCUACUUUAGUUAAUACCUAGAGAUAGUGGACGUUACUCGCAGAAUAAGCACCGGCUAACUCUGUGCCAGCAGCCGCGGUAAUACAGAGGGUGCGAGCGUUAAUCGGAUUUACUGGGCGUAAAGCGUGCGUAGGCGGCUUAUUAAGUCGGAUGUGAAAUCCCCGAGCUUAACUUGGGAAUUGCAUUCGAUACUGGUGAGCUAGAGUAUGGGAGAGGAUGGUAGAAUUCCAGGUGUAGCGGUGAAAUGCGUAGAGAUCUGGAGGAAUACCGAUGGCGAAGGCAGCCAUCUGGCCUAAUACUGACGCUGAGGUACGAAAGCAUGGGGAGCAAACAGGAUUAGAUACCCUGGUAGUCCAUGCCGUAAACGAUGUCUACUAGCCGUUGGGGCCUUUGAGGCUUUAGUGGCGCAGCUAACGCGAUAAGUAGACCGCCUGGGGAG